Long non-coding RNA from Anguilla anguilla (European eel), 265 nucleotides. RefSeq lists it as uncharacterized. The transcript has 3 exons. The record is from RefSeq and is a predicted model, not a curated record. Lineage: Eukaryota; Metazoa; Chordata; Actinopteri; Anguilliformes; Anguillidae.
CCUGAGGUAGCAGAACGGAGGGAUCUGGCUGGCAACGUUCUGUGUGUGACGUCUUUUGAGGACAGGAGUCCCUGGCACAUCCACGCCCACCUCCUGAAGAGUGUUUCUUAUCUGUUGGACAGAUGAUUGGGGGGUUUUCAUCAUUUUGCUUCAUAAUGGCUUCCUAAUUCAUUGGCACAAUUCUGGUCCUCUUGUUGACAAACGCCAAUAGCAGAUUCCAAAGGCAAUCAAAAGCCUAGGAUCAAGACUAGAUACUGAAAGCUCU